Molecule: long non-coding RNA, 298 nt
Filed under: Ananas comosus (pineapple)
Lineage: Eukaryota; Viridiplantae; Streptophyta; Magnoliopsida; Poales; Bromeliaceae
Description: long non-coding RNA (ACOM_LNC011883)
Source: RNAcentral
GACUCGAUCUUGAGUCAAUCAACUUCGGAUAAUCCGCGCUCUGUCCAACUCGAGGUGAAGGAACUCUCACAUGCACCUCAGCCAACAACAGCUCACCGUGCUUCGUGACUUAGCCACCUGGCGGCGAAAUCGUCGCACACGCUCAGCCAUGACUCGAGUCACCCGGCGGUAUAAUCCACAAUCCGACUCAACUAUCCGGCGGCGAAAUCGUCGCACACGCCACGACAAUGAUAUAGCCCCGGGCGGCGAAAUCGUCGCACACGCCCCACACCUCUCUCGGUGUGAUCCAUAAGCUCUG